CUACGGGCCGCUGCAGUCGAGAAUCUUCCGCAAUGGACGAAGGUCUGACGGAGCGACGCCGCGUGCGGGAUGAAGGCCUUCGGGUUGUAAACCGCUGUCAGUGGGGAGGAAAUGCAUCAGGGUUCUCCCUGGUGUUUGACCGAUCCGCAGAGGAAGCGCAGGCUAAGUUCGUGCCAGCAGCCGCGGUAACACGAACUGCGCGAACGUUAUUCGGAAUCACUGGGCUUAAAGAGUUCGUAGGCGGCCUUUCAAGUCGGGUGUGAAAUCCCUCGGCUCAACCGAGGAAUUGCGCCUGAUACUGUUGGGCUUGAGGGGGAUAGGGGUGAGCGGAACUGAUGGUGGAGCGGUGAAAUGCGUUGAUAUCAUCAGGAACACCGGUGGCGAAGGCGGCUCACUGGAUCUCUUCUGACGCUGAGGAACGAAAGCUAGGGGAGCGAACGGGAUUAGAUACCCCCGUAGUC
Molecule: ribosomal RNA, 461 nt
Filed under: uncultured bacterium
Lineage: Bacteria
Description: partial 16S ribosomal RNA
Rfam family: Bacterial small subunit ribosomal RNA
Source: RNAcentral